RNAcentral lists this transfer RNA (72 nucleotides) under Bos taurus (domestic cattle). It matches the Rfam family "tRNA". From Rfam's summary of the family: Transfer RNA (tRNA) molecules are approximately 80 nucleotides in length. RNAcentral also lists the same sequence under 2 other names. Lineage: Eukaryota; Metazoa; Chordata; Mammalia; Artiodactyla; Bovidae. The record is from Rfam by way of RNAcentral.
UCCCUGGUGGCUCAGACGGUAAAGCAUCUGCCUGCAGUUCGGGAGACCCGGGUUCGAUCCCUGGCUUGGGAA